Pezoporus occidentalis (night parrot) is the source of this 1986-nucleotide long non-coding RNA. RefSeq lists it as uncharacterized. The transcript is spliced from 2 exons. The record is from RefSeq and is a predicted model, not a curated record. NCBI's taxonomy places the organism in Eukaryota, Metazoa, Chordata, Aves, Psittaciformes, Psittacidae.
UCCCUCAGCCGGUGCGGACGGGACACGGGUGCCUGCUUUUCCCUCGGAGGCGGGCGUCAUUCCGUCGCUGUUAACCGCCUCCUGCUGCCCGUGAUGCAUUUGCGGUGAAGCCCGAAGAGGGGGGUCAGCUGUCGUGCCUGGUUGCUUCUGCACAUGGUGCUGGUGGUUGUAGUGACCGCCUGGCCUGCUGCUAGGCGCCUGAAGUCGUCUCGUUACAGGAAGAUGCGGUAAGAGAAGGAAAAGACGAGUGCUGGUGGGGCUAACAUGCUUUUCGGGGUGCUUGGAGGGGACUGUAGUCUUGUCCAGUCUUUCCUUAGCGGUGAGGAUGCUCUCUGAAGGCACAGUCUUACAAAGCAGGAUACUGCAAGGCACCUGUGAAAUGUCCUCUAAGAGGAUUUGGACUUGGAGGCAAGCUUUGAUACUACUAAAUACGAGCUACUAAGUGAAGCCUAUAUUUAAAUAUAUUUUUAACGUUAGUGCCACAUUUUUACUUACAUAAAAUUUGCUUCGUAGUUAACAGUGAUUUAGAUCCAUUCUUUCUCCACAAAGUAAUGAGUAUCUGUUUGACAGUGUUCACACUUAGCUACAAGGCAUACCUUAGGUUUGUUUAAAUCAGCUUGUGAAUCUAGUUCAGAGAUCCUUUGUGGUAAUUUGACAGCGAUGGAUUGUUAGUUUAGGUGUAGUUUCCAUGUAAGUUCUGGCUUGAAGGUAUAUUUUUGUUUUGUAUUUUGUAAAUCUGAUUCUUUGGAAAGCAACAAGAAAAAACGCACCUCUUGAAGGAGUUCAGUCAGCAGUGGUGUAUGGUAUAGUAAGCUCUAACGGUUUAGUAAGGCAUAAUGUAAGCAAAGUAGUUUAGAGUUGACUGCAGGAGAUGCCUAAUAUGGGGAAAGGGUAGCUCCAGGCUUCUGGUGUUUGGAUGUGGGUUAUAAAUAUAAAAAUACUCAAUGUCGUAUAUGAAGUGUAUAAAGGUUUGAGGCAUUUAGCUGAGGAAACUUUGGUUCUGUGCUGUAGUUACACUUUAUGCAGUACAUAAACUGAUGAGCAAAUUAAUGUUAGAACAUACUAAAUCUACGCCAAAUGUUAACAAAGCUUCAGGAAUUCACUUUGUGCGCUUUGUGUCUCCCUGUGGAACGUAUUGACCAAACCAUGACUUUGAGCUUUAAGGCACAAUUUGUAUCUCUGUACUAAGUAUAGUACCAUUCAAUAAAUAACAGUUUGUGACAAAACUCAUCAGUCUUGUUUCUCAUUUCUAGCAGAACAGUCCUGUCCACCUGGAUGUGUCUGUUGCAGCUGGCAUGCUUAGGAGUAAACAGGCAACAUUUUUCCAGUGGUGGUUGAGCAAACAUCUGCUUUGUGGUGGAACUGCUACAUUUCUGUACAAAUCAAGGUCAGAUGUAUGCUUCCCACAAAGCUUUAUUAUCCAAGUGAUUGCAAACUGCUCCAGUAAGAGUAUAGUAAGAAGUUGUGAAGUACUUAGUGAGCAUGUAUAAAGCAAAAAAAAAAGUCCCUAUAGAAGUGAACACAAGUUUGGUCAGUAAUAGCUGGCUUGUAAAAAGGAAAAGUCAAACCUUCUUUCCUAGCCCUGGAGAAAAUUGUGGUUUACUGUUAACUAUCAGCAAUAAGUACCUCUAUUAUAUUGUGUGAGAGAGAACAAAGAAAAAAAGGAAACAUAAAAAAAGUACCUGCUAAUGCUAAAUGCUCACAUACCAUUUUCCCAGCUCUGGCACAUUCCUGUCCCCGCGUUCAGAAAAACAGAUAUUUAGUUAUUCAGGCAUAACUGCGCAUGCUGUCAUUCAUAUCUGAGACAAAGACACAAAGUUUAGCAAUCCUUAUGAAGACUGAAUUAGUACAUUAUGUCCAGUAAAGAUCAGUACUAGUUUCUUAAAUCUGGCAUGGGCAUGUUUUCCAGCAGUAUUUCUUCUAGCUACGAAUAGCCAUGAAAAUAUUUGACAGGGUUUGCUGCCAUAAAUAUUUGGGGGGGGGGGG